GCGCCGGUGGUGUAAUGGCGUAGAGCAUUCCCGUCCGGUCAGAGGGAGGUGCGGGUUCGAGUCCCGCUUGGCGCU
This is a non-coding RNA of Heligmosomoides polygyrus, 75 nucleotides long. The record is from Rfam. Lineage: Eukaryota; Metazoa; Nematoda; Chromadorea; Rhabditida; Heligmosomidae.